UAAUGAAGCUCAGCAACUACACAGCUUACAUGACAGCAUCAUAUGCUACGAUGUACUCUACAUUACUAACUUAGUAGGCUAAAGUAUCCUGCUUGGAACCUUUCCAGCAGAUUGCUUCUACAAUUAGGGUAUGAUCCAACACUUUCUUGUUGUCAUCUUGAUCUGACUGAAAUCAAAAUAUCCAUAUGUUUAAAGUCAGUAUUUCCAUAUUUGAGUCACUGGACCUUAGUAUUUUCCAAAUACUUAAAGAUUGUCAAUACAAUCUUCCAGUGGUUCUUACUUAGAUCAGGCUGGUAUCUACUCAUUACCAUUAGUGAGUAUACUAUAUCUGAUCUUGAACAUAGAGAAAUUAGAUGACACCCAAAUCUUUAUUGUUUGUAAUGCUAGAAUGCCAUUUCCGAUUAAGAGAAUUUCAUCCACAGACAAACAAGAAAUAACACUACAGAAUAUUUUGCCCACUUAUAAAUGCAGGGUUCAUCUUUAUUCAUAACAAAGACUUAUGUUCAAAACAUAUAUUCCCACUCUGGGAU
RNAcentral lists this long non-coding RNA (530 nucleotides) under Elaeis guineensis (African oil palm). RNAcentral describes it as "long non-coding RNA (EGUI_LNC072772)". The record is from RNAcentral. Lineage: Eukaryota; Viridiplantae; Streptophyta; Magnoliopsida; Arecales; Arecaceae.